Paramuricea clavata is the source of this 175-nucleotide non-coding RNA. The record is from the annotation of a GenBank genome assembly. NCBI's taxonomy places the organism in Eukaryota, Metazoa, Cnidaria, Anthozoa, Malacalcyonacea, Plexauridae.
AAAGUACUUCUUACAGAGGUCUGGACAAAAUGUGAUUGAAAUUUGUACACAUUUUGUCCAUACCUUUGUAUAAAGAUGUGUUUCUUAACAUUUUCAGUCUUAAAUUUGUCAUUUUGGACCUAAAUGUGUACAAAUUUCAAUCACCUUUUGUCCAGACCUUUGUAAGAAGUGCUUC